RNAcentral lists this ribosomal RNA (453 nucleotides) under uncultured bacterium. RNAcentral's name for it is "bacterial SSU rRNA". It matches the Rfam family "Bacterial small subunit ribosomal RNA", at positions 28 to 526 of the family's 1533-position model. The record is from RNAcentral.
GAUGAACGCUGGCGGUAUGCCUAACACAUGCAAGUCGAACGCGAGCUUAGGCUCGAGUGGCAGACGGGUGAGUAACACGUGAGAAUUUGCCUCUAGGAAGGGGACAACAGUUGGAAACGACUGCUAAUACCCUAUAUGUCGAAAGAUGAAAGGUUUUCCGCCUAGAGAGAAGCUCGCGGCUGAUUAGCUAGUUGGUGAGGUAAGGGCUCACCAAGGCGAAGAUCAGUAGCUGGUUUGAGAGGAUGAUCAGUCACACUGGAACUGAGACACGGUCCAGACUCCUACGGGAGGCAGCAGUGGGGAAUUUUCUGCAAUGGGCGAAAGCCUGACAGAGCAAUACCGCGUGAGGGAUGACGGCUUUCGAGUUGUAAACCUCUUUUAUCAAGGAGGAAGUUCUGACGUUACUUGAUGAAUAAGCAUCGGCUAACUCCGUGCCAGCCGCCGCCGUAACAC